UUAAUUAAAUAAAAGAUAACGUCUUAAAUAUAGCUAAGGUAAAUUUCUCUGGCUUACUUCGAUACGGGGUGGUAACUUUCACUUCACUUUCAUUACCACCGUACAACACCUGAGAAUUAAAUUGUAGUUUUCUGAAAAUCAUACCUACUAUUCGAAUGGAAAUAUUUCAGUUCAAUAACUAGGAAUUAAGAUUUUAACAGCCCUUUACAAAAUUUUCAUAGUUUCAUUUUGGAUCUAGUUUUAAUAGAAGUGUGUAGAUUCAAUAUAGAUAUUACUUCAGGGUUAUUACUUACGUAGGGUACGUAGCGUGAACCGCACGCAGGUGAUGCCUGUAAGGACUUCGUAACAUAAUUCAGUACAGGUGAUGCCUGUCAAAACAUGAUGUGAGGUGACAUACGUGUUUUACCAGAUGAUGCCUGGUAGUCCGGAAACAGGUGAUGCCUGUAAGGACUUCGUAACAUAAUUCAGUACAGGUGAUGCCUGUCAAAACAUGAUGUGAGGUGACAUACGUGUUUUACCAGAUGAUGCCUGGUAGUCCGGAAACAGGUGAUGCCUGUAAGGACUUCGUAACAUAAUUCAGUACAGGUGAUGCCUGUCAAAACAUGAUGUGAGGUGACAUACGUGUUUUACCAGAUGAUGCCUGGUAGUCCGGAAACAGGUGAUGCCUGUAAGGACUUCGUAACAUAAUUCAGUACAGGUGAUGCCUGUCAAAACAUGAUGUGAGGUGACAUACGUGUUUUACCAGAUGAUGCCUGGUAGUCCGGAAACAGGUGAUGCCUGUAAGGACUUCGUAACAUAAUUCAGUACACGUGAUGCCUGUCAAAACAUGAUGUGAUGUGACAUACGUGUUUUACCAGAUGAUGCCUGGUAGUCCGCAAACAGGUGAUGCCUGUAAGGACUUCGUUAUAUAAUUUAGUUCAGGUGAUGCCUGUAAUACAUGUGAUGCGACGUAGGUGUAUCAUGUGUGUGAAAGGUACUAUGUAGUGUUGUAUUCGGGUGACGCGCGUAACCCGAAGUUUGUAUAUGGGUAACGCCCGUUUACUGAAGUUCGAAGACAACUCAUUAGAUAUUGUUAGUUUAAAUUAAAACUAUAGCGUUAGUUGAAUAAUGCAAGGAAUAAAUAAUGAAUGUGUCAGGUUAUUAAAAGCAUGAUGCUCAUUUGAUGACCAAAAUAUGACAUUCUUUAUUUAUUUAACUGUCCACAGAUUAAAAUACGAUGUCGAGCCUUACUUUGGAAAAAUUUGAAUGCGAUGGUGAAGCAGGAUCUGUUGGAGCUAGAUGGGAACGUUGGAAAAGAAGUUUAUAUAUUUACUUGGAAACGGCUGAUAUUAAUACUAGUUCAAAAAAACGCGCAAGUUUGUUGCAUUGGGGAGGGCAAGAACUUCAAGAAAUACUGUUUAAUUUACCGGGUGGUUACGUUCAGUCGAUAGAUGAUGGUGACAUAGAUGUGUUUGAAGUAGCAAUGAAGAAGUUAGAUGAAUAUUUUGCACCUAGACAAAAUAAACGGUAUGAGAGACACCUAUUCAGACAAAUAAAACAAGAUGAAAACGAGAAAUUUGAAAAAUAUUUAGUUCGACUAAGACAACAAGCUUUGAAAUGUCAAUUUACGGAUAUCGAUGACAGUUUGAUUGACCAGAUAAUUGAAAAGUGUUCAUCGGAAGAACUCAGGAAGAAAGUGCUCCGGGCAGGCGAGAAAAUUA
Molecule: long non-coding RNA, 1700 nt
Organism: Leptidea sinapis
Lineage: Eukaryota; Metazoa; Arthropoda; Insecta; Lepidoptera; Pieridae
Exons: 4
Source: RefSeq, a predicted model, not a curated record